RNAcentral lists this ribosomal RNA (253 nucleotides) under uncultured bacterium. RNAcentral's name for it is "partial 16S ribosomal RNA". It matches the Rfam family "Bacterial small subunit ribosomal RNA", at positions 524 to 776 of the family's 1533-position model. The record is from RNAcentral.
UACGUAGGGUGCAAGCGUUAAUCGGAAUUACUGGGCGUAAAGCGUGCGCAGGCGGCGCCGCAAGUCAGGCGUGAAAUCCCCGAGCUCAACUUGGGAAUUGCGCUUGAAACUACGGUGUUGGAGUAUGGCAGAGGGAGGUGGAAUUCCACGUGUAGCGGUGAAAUGCGUAGAGAUGUGGAGGAACACCGAUGGCGAAGGCAGCCUCCUGGGCCAAUACUGACGCUCAUGCACGAAAGCGUGGGGAGCAAACAGG